This 221-nucleotide long non-coding RNA is filed under the name Homo sapiens (human). Its description in RNAcentral is "HSALNT0408357". Lineage: Eukaryota; Metazoa; Chordata; Mammalia; Primates; Hominidae. The record is from RNAcentral.
CGGGCCGUGUGCUCCUAGUCGUCCUCUCCUCGAGGUGCCCCGCUGUGACCAGCAGACCUGCACACAGACGCAAGACAGGAUAAACAUCUGGGAAGCACAGGUAUAUGAGGCACAGAAACACAAGGCACUGUGGAUGCCUCUUCUGUCUGGACAGAAAACUGGAGUCAGGAGACCUCUCUGAGUCCCCAGAGACAGAAUCAUCACUACUGUGUGUCCUUGGG